RNAcentral lists this unclassified non-coding RNA (215 nucleotides) under soil metagenome. Its description in RNAcentral is "partial contains 5.8S ribosomal RNA, internal transcribed spacer 2, and large subunit ribosomal RNA". The record is from RNAcentral.
AACCAUUCUCACCUGCGGCUAGACCUGCGGAGGGAUCAUUACAAGUGACCCCGGUUUACCACCGGGAUGUUCAUAACCCUUUGUUGUCCGACUCUGUUGCCUCCGGGGCGACCCUGCCUUCGGGCGGGGGCUCCGGGUGGACACUUCAAACUCUUGCGUAACUUUGCAGUCUGAGUAAACUUAAUUAAUAAAUUAAAACUUUUAACAAUGGAUCU